UGUCACGUUACAGUGCAGUGCACCGACUGACUGCCGCUAUUUGCUUGGAUGUUGCUGAAAGAAAGGAGGCAUUCUUCAUUGUGCAGCACUAGCCUACUGUGGAGGCCGAGAGAGUUUUGACGAGGCUUCUGUACCCAGGAGGCGGAGGCAGCAAUUCCAGCUUCAAUGCGCACAGUCCUUUAAAAGGGACACCCAGCUAAGAUUUUAUUGCAAAUUCUACACAGAAUGCACUGCUCUACACAUUUGGUUUUGGAAACACUGUGUAUUAUUGUAAGUGUACACCAGGGGUGGGGAACCUUUUUCAUUUGAAGGGCCACUUCAAAUUACUCUGAGGGCCG
Long non-coding RNA from Engraulis encrasicolus (European anchovy), 338 nucleotides. RefSeq lists it as uncharacterized. Lineage: Eukaryota; Metazoa; Chordata; Actinopteri; Clupeiformes; Engraulidae. The record is from RefSeq and is a predicted model, not a curated record. The transcript has 3 exons.